CUACGGUCAAAAGUAACCUGGUAAGUUUGUUUUUUCAAUUUGUAACCUGAUUCAUGAAAGUUUCUAAUGUUAAUUUUUGUUUCAUGUCUUUUUUAAUAUUGGUUUUUCCUAGGAACCCUUGAUUGUGAGACAAUGUGACCAUCGGUUUCUAAGGUUUUUGUAUUGAUUCUUGAAGGAGUCAUCGGAACUGGCGGCACUUGAAGCAUCCAAAGGAUUCGAGAGACGAUAAUGUUCCCUGUUUCAAAUCUUUUUGAGGUGCUCAGUUUUUCUGUCGACAAGGUGGUUGUGGCGUUUGAUUUAUAUGGUUAGGGUUUUCCAGAAUUGGGCUGACGGGAGAUCCGGGCACUCCAAAUAAGUGAGACAGGCAAGAGUGAGCUACUUCCGUACCAGCUUGAAGGAUUGAAUUUCUUACGUUUCUCAUGGUCUAAAGUCUAAACAAACACAUGUGAUACUUGCAGACGAAAUGGGUCUUGGGAAACGAUACAAAGUAUUGCUUUUUUGGCAUCGUUGUCUAAAGAGAAUGUCUCCCCUCAUUUAGUAGCACCGCUUUCUACAUUAAGGAAUUGGGAACAUUAAUUUGCUAUAUGGGCUGCUAAUAUG
This is a long non-coding RNA of Helianthus annuus (common sunflower), 600 nucleotides long. RefSeq lists it as uncharacterized. NCBI's taxonomy places the organism in Eukaryota, Viridiplantae, Streptophyta, Magnoliopsida, Asterales, Asteraceae. The record is from RefSeq and is a predicted model, not a curated record. The transcript has 5 exons.